AACGAACGCUGGCGGCAUGCCUAACACAUGCAAGUCGAACGAGACCUUCGGGUCUAGUGGCGCACGGGUGCGUAACGCGUGGGAACCUGCCCUUAGGUUCGGAAUAACUCCCCGAAAGGGGUGCUAAUACCGGAUAAUGUCUUCGGACCAAAGAUUUAUCGCCUUUGGAUGGGCCCGCGUUGGAUUAGCUAGUUGGUAGGGUAAAAGCCUACCAAGGCGACGAUCCAUAGCUGGUCUGAGAGGAUGAUCAGCCACACUGGGACUGAGACACGGCCCAGACUCCUACGGGAGGCAGCAGUGGGGAAUAUUGGACAAUGGGCGAAAGCCUGAUCAGCAAUGCCGCGUGAGUGAUGAAGGCCUUAGGGUUGUAAAGCUCUUUUACCCGGGAUGAUAAUGACAGUACCGGGAGAAUAAGCUCCGGCUAACUCCGUG
Molecule: ribosomal RNA, 432 nt
Filed under: uncultured bacterium
Lineage: Bacteria
Description: partial 16S ribosomal RNA
Rfam family: Bacterial small subunit ribosomal RNA
Source: RNAcentral